UGGGGAAUUUUGGACAAUGGGCGAAAGCCUGAUCCAGCAAUGCCGCGUGUGUGAAGAAGGCCUUCGGGUUGUAAAGCACUUUUGUCCGGAAAGAAAUGGCUCUGGUUAAUACCUGGGGUCGAUGACGGUACCGGAAGAAUAAGGACCGGCUAACUACGUGCCAGCAGCCGCGGUAAUACGUAGGGUCCAAGCGUUAAUCGGAAUUACUGGGCGUAAAGCGUGCGCAGGCGGUUGUGCAAGACCGAUGUGAAAUCCCCGAGCUUAACUUGGGAAUUGCAUUGGUGACUGCACGGCUAGAGUGUGUCAGAGGGGGGUAGAAUUCCACGUGUAGCAGUGAAAUGCGUAGAGAUGUGGAGGAAUACCGAUGGCGAAGGCAGCCCCCUGGGAUAACACUGACGCUCAUGCACGAAAGCGUGGGGAGCAAACAGGAUUAGAUACCCUGGUAGUCCACGCCCUAAACGAUGUCAACUAGUUAGUUGGGGAUUCAUUUCCUUAGUAACGUAGCUAACGCGUGAAGUUGACCGCCUGGGGAGUACGGUCGCAAGAUUAAAAGCUCAAAUG
RNAcentral lists this ribosomal RNA (561 nucleotides) under uncultured bacterium. RNAcentral describes it as "partial 16S ribosomal RNA". It matches the Rfam family "Bacterial small subunit ribosomal RNA", at positions 355 to 907 of the family's 1533-position model. The record is from RNAcentral.